GGCGCAAGCCUGAUGCAGCCAUGCCGCGUGUAUGAAGAAGGCCUUCGGGUUGUAAAGUACUUUCAGCAGUGAGGAAGGGGGUGUCGUUAAUAGCGGCAUUUCUUGACGUUAGCUGCAGAAGAAGCACCGGCUAACUCCGUGCCAGCAGCCGCGGUAAUACGGAGGGUGCGAGCGUUAAUCGGAAUUACUGGGCGUAAAGCGCAUGCAGGUGGUUUGUUAAGUCAGAUGUGAAAGCCCGGGGCUCAACCUCGGAACUGCAUUUGAAACUGGCAAACUAGAGUACUGUAGAGGGGGGUAGAAUUUCAGGUGUAGCGGUGAAAUGCGUAGAGAUCUGAAGGAAUACCAGUGGCGAAGGCGGCCCCCUGGACAGAUACUGACACUCAGAUGCGAAAGCGUGGGGAGCAAACAGGAUUAGAUACCCUGGUAGUCCACGCCGUAAACGAUGUCUACUUGGAGGUUGUGGCCUUGAGCCGUGGCUUUCGGAGCUAACGCGUUAAGUAGACCGCCUGGGGAGUACGGUCGCAAGAUUAAAACUCAAAUGAAUUGACGGGGGCCCGCACAAGCGGUGGAGCAUGUGGUUUAAUUCGAUGCAACGCGAAGAACCUUACCUACUCUUGACAUCCAGAGAAGCCAGCGGAGACGCAGGUGUGCCUUCGGGAACUCUGAGACAGGUGCUGCAUGGCUGUCGUCAGCUCGUGUUGUGAAAUGUUGGGUUAAGUCCCGCAACGAGCGCAACCCUUAUCCUUGUUUGCCAGCGAGUCAUGUCGGGAACUCCAGGGAGACUGCCGGUGAUAAACCGGAGGAAGGUGGGGACGACGUCAAGUCAUCAUGGCCCUUACGAGUAGGGCUACACACGUGCUACAAUGGCGCAUACAGAGGGCGGCCAACUUGCGAGAGUGAGCGAAUCCCAAAAAGUGCGUCGUAGUCCGGAUUGGAGUCUGCAACUCGACUCCAUGAAGUCGGAAUCGCUAGUAAUCGUAGAUCAGAAUGCUACGGUGAAUACGUUCCCGGGCCUUGUACACACCGCCCGUCACACCAUGGGAGUGGGCUGCACCAGAAGUGGUUAGUUUAACCCCUUUUCUUUCGAGAUUAGGGGAGGACGAUCACCACGGUGUGGUUCAUGACUGGGGUGAAGUCGUAACAAGGUAGCCCUAGGGGAACCUGGGGCUGGAUCACCUCCUUAUACGAAGAU
This 1192-nucleotide ribosomal RNA is filed under the name Alteromonas sp. KUL49. Its description in RNAcentral is "bacterial SSU rRNA". It matches the Rfam family "Bacterial small subunit ribosomal RNA", at positions 374 to 1533 of the family's 1533-position model. The record is from RNAcentral. Lineage: Bacteria; Pseudomonadati; Pseudomonadota; Gammaproteobacteria; Alteromonadales; Alteromonadaceae.